ACAAAAACAUUGCUUCUUGUUCUCCCAUAAGAAGUAAUUCCUGCCCAGUGAACUCAUUUCAACGGCCGCGGUAUCCUAACCGUGCAAAGGUAGCAUAAUCACUUGCCCAUUAAUUGUGGGCUAGAAUGAAAGGACCAACGAAAUAAAAACUGUCUCUAUAAGUAACAUAAAAAUUAAUCUCUAACUGAAGAUUGUUAGAUAGCAUCGAAGGACAAGAAGACCCUAUAGAGCUUUAUUUUUACAAAUAACUAAAAUUUAUAUAAAUUCGGUUGGGGCGACCGGGGAAGCUAUCAUCCCCUAAUAACAGAUAAAUAAAUCACAUACUUGACCCUUUCUAAGAUCAUUAAAACAAGCUACCUUAGGGAUAACAGGCUAAUCCCGCUAAAGAGUCCUUAUCAAUAGCUGGGUUUGGCACCUCGAUGUUGGCUUAGGGAAUCUAUAUGGCGCAAAAGUCAUAUAAAGA
RNAcentral lists this ribosomal RNA (463 nucleotides) under Eisenia fetida (common brandling worm). Its description in RNAcentral is "partial 16S ribosomal RNA". It matches the Rfam family "Bacterial large subunit ribosomal RNA", at positions 1807 to 2572 of the family's 2925-position model. Lineage: Eukaryota; Metazoa; Annelida; Clitellata; Crassiclitellata; Lumbricidae. The record is from RNAcentral.